GCCUUCAUGGUAUAAUGGUUAGCAUGCUCGACGCGUUUUCGAGAGGUCCGUGGUUCGAGUCCCGGCGAGGACA
Non-coding RNA from Stegodyphus mimosarum, 73 nucleotides. The record is from Rfam. NCBI's taxonomy places the organism in Eukaryota, Metazoa, Arthropoda, Arachnida, Araneae, Eresidae.